GACAGAACCCAGAAAAGCUGCAAAUCAUCCCUUGUUUUAACCCCCUCCUCCUCAGUCUUCAUCUGCUCAGAUCCCUCCCUCCUUCUGCUGUGUCUUUUUUUUAUUAUCUUGUUUUGUCUUUGUACCAAAAACCUGGUGUUUAUUUUGGAGCAAUGUCAAUCCUCAUGGCCCCUAUAUCACUCACAAAGAGGGAACAAUCCCACACCGCAAAACUCUCUUUUGCCCCAGACCUCUCCUAUUUGCGCCCCUUCUUUGGUCUAAUCUUUACAUUCCAUUUUUUUGUACAGUAAUUCACCUGCUGCUGACAGAGGGGAAUGAGGAGGUACAUGUUUUUCGGAUUAUUCCUGAUGUGCUGUGAGAAUACUCUAAUCUCUAUUAGAUUUGUCCUGGGAGAGUUUUUGCUUGACUGUGCGGUUUUCAGGGCGCGAGGUUCAUGUUAGGCCUGCAGUGUGGAAAUCUAAGACGGGAACGUGAUCUUAAUACUUCACAGACAGCUUCUUUUAACAGAUUUAACAUAUCACCGGGCUUUAAAAUAUUAACCCCGACUAAAAACACCUUGACACUUUUUAUUCUGUGUUCUUUGAGCUUGUAAAAAAAGAAAUGAACUGCAGUUACUGUGAAUACAGUGAAUUCUCUGUAGUAUCAUCUUCCCUUUUCACCAUAAAUAAUCUAAUUAACUGAUUAGACUUUGUUUUAAAUGUGUAGCGUUGUGUGACAGAUGUCUUUUUAUAAUUGUUAAUUUAUUCAGUUUUUAAUAAAACUUACUUUCUCUCUCUGUCUGUACCGGUUGCUCGUCUUUGUUGCUAUGGAGACGUAAUCAGGCAAUCAGAGAAGAUCUCCUUGUUCUUGAUGUAGCAGCUGCCGUGCUGACGCAGCGACGUCCUGCAGACGGAGCACUCCAGACAGCGCACGUGCCAGAUCAGGAAGUGGAUCAAAUUGAAGGGCUGGCAGCUUUUACUCCGAGGCUUCGUAGGUGCAGUGUGGGGGGAGCGGAGGAGGACGACGACGACGACGAGAGCGCACGCACCCCAAAGAAGAACCGUGGCUCGUC
Scophthalmus maximus (turbot) is the source of this 1051-nucleotide long non-coding RNA. RefSeq lists it as uncharacterized. The transcript has 3 exons. The record is from RefSeq and is a predicted model, not a curated record. NCBI's taxonomy places the organism in Eukaryota, Metazoa, Chordata, Actinopteri, Pleuronectiformes, Scophthalmidae.